This 441-nucleotide ribosomal RNA is filed under the name uncultured bacterium. Its description in RNAcentral is "partial 16S ribosomal RNA". It matches the Rfam family "Bacterial small subunit ribosomal RNA", at positions 338 to 795 of the family's 1533-position model. The record is from RNAcentral.
CCUACGGGAGGCUGCAGUGGGGAAUAUUGGGCAAUGGACGCAAGUCUGACCCAGCAACGCCGCGUGAAGGAAGAAGGCUUUCGGGUUGUAAACUUCUUUUAAGGGGGAAGAGCAGAAGACGGUACCCCUUGAAUAAGCCACGGCUAACUACGUGCCAGCAGCCGCGGUAAUACGUAGGAUGCGAGCGUUAUCCGGAUUUAUUGGGUUUAAAGGGUGCGCAGGCGGUCUGUUAAGUCAGCGGUCAAAGCCCGGGGCUCAACCCCGGCCCGCCGUUGAAACUGGCAGUCUCGAGUUGGAGAGAAGUAUGCGGAAUGCGCGGUGUAGCGGUGAAAUGCAUAGAUAUCGCGCAGAACUCCGAUUGCGAAGGCAGCAUGCCGGCUCCACACUGACGCUGAGGCACGAAAGCGUGGGUAUCGAACAGGAUUAGAUACCCCGGUAGUC